UACGUAGGGGGCAAGCGUUGUCCGGAAUCAUUGGGCGUAAAGAGCGUGUAGGCGGCCAGAUAAGUCCGCUGUGAAAUCUCGAGGCUCAACUUCGAGCUGUCGGUGGAAACUGUCUGGCUAGAGUCCGGAAGAGGGGAAUGGAAUUCCUGGUGUAGCGGUGAAAUGCGCAGAUAUCAGGAAGAACACCCGUGGCGAAGGCGGUUCUCUGGGACGGUACUGACGCUGAGACGCGAAAGCGUGGGGAGCGAACAGG
This 253-nucleotide ribosomal RNA is filed under the name uncultured bacterium. RNAcentral describes it as "partial 16S ribosomal RNA". It matches the Rfam family "Bacterial small subunit ribosomal RNA", at positions 524 to 776 of the family's 1533-position model. The record is from RNAcentral.